This 72-nucleotide transfer RNA is filed under the name Marmota monax (woodchuck). RNAcentral's name for it is "tRNA.Ala". The record is from RNAcentral. Lineage: Eukaryota; Metazoa; Chordata; Mammalia; Rodentia; Sciuridae.
UGGGGUAUAGUUCAGUGGUAGAAUAUGUGCUCAGCAUGCAUGAGGCUCUGGGUUGAGUCCCCAGCACCAGAA